This 75-nucleotide transfer RNA is filed under the name Gammaproteobacteria bacterium. Its description in RNAcentral is "tRNA-Arg". It matches the Rfam family "tRNA". From Rfam's summary of the family: Transfer RNA (tRNA) molecules are approximately 80 nucleotides in length. Lineage: Bacteria; Pseudomonadati; Pseudomonadota; Gammaproteobacteria. The record is from RNAcentral.
GCCCCCAUAGUUCAAUGGAUAGAACAAACCCCUCCUAAGGGUUAGAUUCCCGUUCGAAUCGGGAUGGGGGUACCA